GGCAGGGCUACAGACGUAACAUUUUUACCAGGAUGAACUGCUGUUGAACAAUUUCUCCAAUGCAUUAGUCAUGCUUCAACUUUAGACAUGCAGGUUUUUAAACGCUCUUUAAUGCACGCGGCUUCCUGAUGUGGUGGAGGAAAGGAGAGUAUUAUCAUUUCUGAAUGCCAGAGUUAUUGGCGCACUCAUAAUAUAAAAGCCAUCAAGUGUCACCGAUAUCAAGGGAUUCUCUUUCCUAAAGCAGGUGGACCUAUCUUUUGGGAGUUCCUUUGAAUUGCCAGAAUUGAGAAAUCACAGAAUUGCCUGUAGAAACCGAAAUGGAAAACAGUGACGGAGUCAGCAUAGUGCUUUGAACAGGAAUUUGCUCAGGCAAACUCAGGAACGAGUGAACGGGCACCACGGCCUCCCUGGGCAGGUGACAGCUGACAGGGCCCGAGGUACACACCUGCCCCAAGCUGGGCUCAGUAGAUCUGCUCCCCUGAGAAUCUCAAAUUG
Molecule: long non-coding RNA, 495 nt
Filed under: Felis catus (domestic cat)
Lineage: Eukaryota; Metazoa; Chordata; Mammalia; Carnivora; Felidae
Description: lncRNA (ENSFCAG00000052423.1)
Source: RNAcentral